UGGGGAAUAUUGGACAAUGGGCGAAAGCCUGAUCCAGCCAUGCCGCGUGUGUGAAGAAGGUCUUCGGAUUGUAAAGCACUUUAAGUUGGGAGGAAGGGCAGUAAGCGAAUACCUUGCUGUUUUGACGUUACCGACAGAAUAAGCACCGGCUAACUCUGUGCCAGCAGCCGCGGUAAUACAGAGGGUGCAAGCGUUAAUCGGAAUUACUGGGCGUAAAGCGCGCGUAGGUGGUUCGUUAAGUUGAAUGUGAAAGCCCCGGGCUCAACCUGGGAACUGCAUCCUGAACUGGCUAGCUAGAGUAGGGCAGAGGGUGGUGGAAUUUCCUGUGUAGCGGUGAAAUGCGUAGGUAUAGGAAGGAACACCAGUGGCGAAGGCGACCACCUGGGCUCAUACUGACACUGAGGUGCGAAAGCGUGGGGAGCAAACAGG
RNAcentral lists this ribosomal RNA (429 nucleotides) under Pseudomonadota bacterium. RNAcentral describes it as "Proteobacteria bacterium partial 16S ribosomal RNA". It matches the Rfam family "Bacterial small subunit ribosomal RNA", at positions 355 to 776 of the family's 1533-position model. The record is from RNAcentral. Lineage: Bacteria; Pseudomonadati; Pseudomonadota.